Molecule: small RNA, 644 nt
Filed under: Histoplasma ohiense
Lineage: Eukaryota; Fungi; Ascomycota; Eurotiomycetes; Onygenales; Ajellomycetaceae
Description: hypothetical lncRNA
Source: RNAcentral
CAUCCCCUGGACAAUGAGUACAAUUCACACACCCCCCUCCACCAGCCGCCAGUGGCGAGUUGGCAGAUAACCCUAGCCAGCAAACACAAUUUCAUUUGUUUUCCCUUUGGGGUGGAGGGGUGGGAAGGGGUAGUACCCUGCAAUGGCUUAAAAUGGAGCUCUCUUUCUCUUGAUUUUGCUGAACAUAAAGGAUAGAACUAUUGUUUCGAGUGGGCCGGCAUUAUUUGUCCACCUCCUUUGGUGGAGACUUCCCCAAGGCAACUGUUCAAUAACACCACAAUCCCAAACGCACAAAAGGAAUAGUUAAUUCUUCUCAAAAAUCACUUUUCAUAUCAGACAUCCUAAGAGAAGAUCAUCCAUCUUCUCUCCAACCACCCUUUUAUGCUCCCGUCAGGUUUAAGACCCUUGACUUGCCUUCGAUUUUCUACAUCUUUCUCAAGAACUCCUGUUUCCCCAAAUGGCUUAUAUCCGGCCGGAUCCUCCUAAUGGAGGAGGCAGAGCAUGGUUGGUUGUUGUAGGCUCAUUUCUCCUCCAAAUGUCAUCUUUUGGAUACCUCAAUACCUGCGGAACUUUCCAAUACUAUUAUCAGAGUGCCAUGCUCCCUGACAAAAAUGCAUCACAGCUUGCUUGGAUCACAACUCUGC